GUGCCAGCAGCUGCGGUAAUACGUAGGGUCCGAGCGUUGUCCGGAAUUAUUGGGCGUAAAGGGCUCGUAGGCGGUUUGUCGCGUCGGGAGUGAAAACUUGGGGCUUAACCCCAUUCGUGCUUCCGAUACGGGCAGACUAGAGGCAGGCAGGGGAGAACGGAAUUCCUGGUGUAGCGGUGGAAUGCGCAGAUAUCAGGAGGAACACCGGUGGCGAAGGCGGUUCUCGUGGGCCUGUUCUGACGCUGAGGAGCGAAAGC
Molecule: ribosomal RNA, 257 nt
Filed under: uncultured Nocardioidaceae bacterium
Lineage: Bacteria; Bacillati; Actinomycetota; Actinomycetes; Propionibacteriales; Nocardioidaceae
Description: partial 16S ribosomal RNA
Rfam family: Bacterial small subunit ribosomal RNA
Source: RNAcentral